UUUUUUUUUUUUUUUUUUUUUUUUGUCUUGCCAUUUCUUGGGCCGCUCCCGCGGCAUAUGGGAUGUUCCCAGGCUAGGGGUCUAAUCGGAGCUGUAGCCACCAGCCUAUGCCAGAGCCACAGCAAUGCGGGAUCCGAGCCGUGUCUGCGACCUACACCACAGCUCACGGCAACGCCGGAUCGUUAACCCACUGAGCAAGGGCAGGGACCGAACCCGCAACCUCAUGGUUCCUAGUCGGAUUCGUUAACCACUGCGCCACGACGGGAACUCCUCUUUGCUAUUUUAAAUAGUGUUAUGAAGACUGGGACAGUACUACAUUCCCUUUACGAUUCUAUAAAAAUUAACCUCGAUUCCAGACAAAAUCUCCAAACACUACAAGAAAAUAUGUAUCUCAACUUUUCAUUGCUCUUUGAAGCCUGUCUUUUAUCUGACCACAGUUAUCAGUUUUAUCUCCAAAUCAGUUAACAGCAGUUCAGGAUGUUUUUAUUAAAUGAUGGCGUGGCUAUUGAGAAGAACCAUUUCUUUGUUCUCAACUCCUUAUCUUCUGGGCCAAAAGCAACCACUGCUCUUGCUCUUCCUACACUACCACUCACAACAGCUAAGGCCAGUUAUUCCAGGUUUUCUUUGACCUUCCUUCUCAUUUUCAGAGAGAUCUUACCUAUUUAAAGAUGAUUUGUUGAAACCAAAUGAGCAGUCACGGAAAUGUAAGAAGCCACAGAACGUCCUCUUUCAUUUACAAAAUCUGCAUUCAAAGAUAGAUGCUUUUAGAGAGAGGCUGUUACUUAAGUAUAGCAAAUAUAUACCUGUUUGUUUUCCAAGUAAUAAAAAUUUCUCACUGGCCUAUCAUAAUUGCAAUGGAUCUUCAAAAAGCUGGGCAAAGUGAGAAAUGGGCAUCGGCAAGAACCAUUCGUAUUAACAUGUACCUCUUUUGAUAGUUUAUUAAAAAUACAAAGAUUGAGGGUGGGGAGAAUUGGAGCUGGGGGAGGCAGUUGCAUUUUAACUCUUUCCUAUGACUUCAUUAAAAGAAUUUUCACUUCAACAGAUGUUUCUAUAAUCAGAGCUGAGAUCUAAUUUAUUUUUGGAAAACAGAGAAAAUGAAACUGUUAUGAAUAGUCUUGUUUCAGGCAAUCAAAAGAGAAUGGCACAAGAAAUCUAGAAUUUGAUUUGUUUUUCAUAGGAACGGUUCAAAGAACAUCUGUGUUUAUGCCAUGAAUCCUUCUGUAUAGGGCUCUCCCUUAGAAGUUUUACUUAGAGCUGAGUCCAUUGAUCUGCAAUUUGGUAAACUUGAGGUUUUUGAAGGGCAGCCAAAGUUCCACUUAGUUUCUCAACAGCUCUCUCUCUCAAACCUGAGAACAUCUAUCUUGUUCCUAGAGAACUUAAGAUACAUUUUAAUACUCAGGACAACACUGUGACUUGCAGACAAAUGCCAGGCCGCUUUAUUGAGACACUUGAGUUCUUUUAAAGAAAUACUUCAUUUAAGGAGUUCCCGUCACGGCUCAGUGAUUAACGAACACGACUAUCACCCAUGAGGGCAUGGGUUCUAUCCCUGGCCUCGCGCAGUGGAUUAAGGAGCUGGCAUUGCCAUGAGCUGUGAUGUAGGUCGCAGAUGCAGCUCCAAUUCCAUGUUGUGUGGCUGUGGUGUAGGUUGGCAGCUGCAGCUCGAGCUGGACCCCCAGCCUGGGAACUUCCACAUGUUGCAGGUGCAGCCCUAAAAAGACAAAAAAGAAAAAGAAAUAUUUCAUUUAGUUUCUUAAUGAGCAUGUCUGUCUUUAGUGGAAGAAAUAUGCCUAAAAACACAAGUGCUAUGUCCCAUGAGAAUAUCUAAGUUUUAAAUCUAGCCAGGGUUUGGGUCUUAGACAUGCAUAUGUGAUUCACUCAAGACUUAAGAGAAUAACUAUUUUUUUAAAAAAAUCCACCCAGCUGUUAAUCAACUGGAAAAAUUAAUCAACUGGAAUAUUUUUCCAACAUAAUCUUGGUUAUUUCAGAGUAGUUUCCAGGUGGUAGUGCUUCUCAUACAUUUCCAAUUAAACAAUGAAAUUUCUGAUAAAGGGAACCUUAAAUAUCACAUAACAUGAAAGAAUUAGGGAUAAAGUAAUUAGUACAGGGCCUGGCACAAACAACUCAAUAAACAACAGCUGGUGGUUCAGGAGGGCAGUUCUGGUAGCAAUUACAGUAGUCAUCCACCCUCUCCUCCCCAAAGCCGUUCAUUUUACAGAUGAGGCCCCCAGAUUAAAUCAUUUGCCCAAGGUCACAAAGCUGCCUAGUGGCAGAGUUGAAAUUGGAAUGCAGGCCCCCUUAUAAGUUUAAUACUAUUUCCCCAAUAGCUUGGGGGGAAUAAUCUUUUCAAUUAUAAUGAGCUAUUUUGUCAUAUAAAAGGGCCUCAUAGAGAAGGGCUAACCUUCAUUUCUAUCUUCGGGUGACAAGCCUUCUCAGUUUCUAUCCCAAGUAACUUGUAAUUUCGGAACAUGAUGGGCUUUUGCUCAGUGCUCACCUCCUUUUAACCUCUUUUCACACCAUCAUGACACAGUCCUUUAGUCUGAGGGACACCACAGUAAGCCAACUCCUCUCUCUCUCUGUUUACUCCUUCUGUGUUUACUUUUUCCCUCCUUCCUGGUGUACUCAAAGCAUGGACAUUUUCAGAGCUGAACCCUUGAAUCUCUGUUCUUUCUUCUUCAGAGAUCACACAUAUCCCCAAGUAUCCUCCCUAUGAAGUUAAUUCUAAGAGGUCUUCAGCCCUCAUGUCCUUCUUGAAACCUAGCAGCAAAUUUCAUUUCCUAUUGGUUGUUACCACCUAAAUGUUCCAAUAUGAUCUCAAAAUUACUAGGUCGAAUCAACAUCAUCAUCUUCCCCUCCAAAGGCACUCAAAUCUUCACUUUCAAUGUUUAUUAACAAUUCCGUAAUUGUCCCAGUCUCCAAACCAUGAAGACAUGGUUGAGCCUCCUCACCCUUCCCAAAUGAUUCAUUACAAGUUCAAUUAUACCUUGUCUAUUUUUCCUUUCUUUCCUCUCUCACUAAUAUCACUUUAGUUCAGUUCCUCACCAGCAAGGCCAGAACUACACCAAGAGCCUGUAAAUGGUUGGCUCUGGCUUUCUUCCUCACCAUCUUACAAACUCCCUGAGGGUAAUUUACCUUCCUGAGUCACAUUCUACCAUAAUGUUCCUCAAAUCAAAUCUAUCCAACUAUUUCACUGCACCUACGAGACAGGAUCUAAAUGCUCUGACUUUGUAAUCAAACUCUCCACCAUCUUUCCCUGUUCUCCAUGUACAUUCAAUUUCUCAGCAAAAUGCAAAGUUACAUUAUCAAGUGUGUGUGUUUAAUGCUUCUCAUUAGUGAGGCAAUGAGAAAAGGAGUCCCAUGCUCAGAAUUAAUGUGAUGGUAUUUCUUUCUUAUGAAAACAAAUAUUAAAUUUAAACAACCUAAUACUUUUUUAGAAUUGAUGUCACUAUAACAUUUUCCAAAGGAAGAAAUUCACUUUCUAGAAAGGUUUUUUAUAGUUAUCUUCCACAGAUAAUUCAGACUAAAAUUCAGUCUCAAUAAUUGUACUAAGUCUGUUUCAUUUUUCCCUAACAAAAAGUUAAGGAAGUCUGUCGAACACCUACUGGUUAGGGAACACAGAAUUUAACAAUUUGCCAACUGAGCUGUUUUUUGUUGUUUCUUUUUUUAAAUCGGUGGUUACUUAAGUUUACUAGAGUCAGUCUCUCCCUUUCUUCCGUAUUAUUAACAAACACUAAAUGAAUUCUAACACUGUGUUGAGGGGACUAGUAUCACGAAUACUCUUUGGGGAAGGCUAUUAGUUAAAUCCCUCUGCAAAGAAACACAUCCACAAUAACAACUGUUUGAUUUUCUCAUCUUUUGUUUUUCUUUUAAGUAUCUCUUGUUCUAAAAAAAAAAAAAGAAAAACAAAAACCUCUCUCUAAUGCAAAUUAAAUCUCCACAUAAUCACCACUUCUUAACUAUUCGAUUGACGUGCACUGAAAAUUUUUCUAUGUUCUUUCGGCAGUUUGGUAGACCAGUGUGCACUUCAAUCAAUGCUGGUGUUAAUGGAAAAUGGUAAAACACUAGGGAAAGAAAUGUGGCAAAAUUACAUGUGAUUUUAGCCUAUAAUCCAACAAUUUCACUUCUAAAAGUCUAUUCCAAAGUAAUACUGGUUAAAAAGACAAAAGCCCCUUUUUGUAAGACUAGUAAUAGCAAAGGAAUGGAAAUAACUUGUAAGUGAAUUAAAACAUCUUUCUCUUGCUCAACAUCUACUUCCUUCCUUUAAAAAAG
This 4266-nucleotide long non-coding RNA is filed under the name Sus scrofa (pig). Its description in RNAcentral is "lncRNA (ENSSSCG00000057722.1)". The record is from RNAcentral. Lineage: Eukaryota; Metazoa; Chordata; Mammalia; Artiodactyla; Suidae.